RNAcentral lists this ribosomal RNA (253 nucleotides) under uncultured bacterium. Its description in RNAcentral is "partial 16S ribosomal RNA". It matches the Rfam family "Bacterial small subunit ribosomal RNA", at positions 524 to 776 of the family's 1533-position model. The record is from RNAcentral.
UACGGGGGGUGCGAGCGUUGUCCGGAAUCACUGGGCGUAAAGGGCGCGUAGGUGGCCUGAUAAGGGUGUGGUGAAAGUCCGGGGCUCAACCCCGGAUCGGCCGUGCCGACUGUUAGGCUAGAGUACUGUAGGGGCAGGCGGAAUUCCGGGUGUAGCGGUGGAAUGCGUAGAGAUCCGGAGGAAGACCGGUGGCGAAGGCGGCCUGCUGGGCAGUUACUGACACUGAGGCGCGAAAGCUAGGGGAGCAAACAGG